This 465-nucleotide ribosomal RNA is filed under the name uncultured bacterium. RNAcentral describes it as "partial 16S ribosomal RNA". It matches the Rfam family "Bacterial small subunit ribosomal RNA", at positions 28 to 507 of the family's 1533-position model. The record is from RNAcentral.
GACGAACGCUGGCGGCGUGCUUAACACAUGCAAGUCGAACGGAAAGGCCCUGCUUGCAGGGUACUCGAGUGGCGAACGGGUGAGUAACACGUGGGUGAUCUGCCCUGCACUUCGGGAUAAGCCUGGGAAACUGGGUCUAAUACCGGAUAGGAGCCAUUUUUAGUGUGAUGGUUGGAAAGUUUUUUCGGUGUAGGAUGAGCUGGCGGCCUAUCAGCUUGUUGGUGGGGUAAUUGCCUACCAAGGCGGCGGCGGGUAGCCGGCCUGAGAGGGUGAACUGCCACAUUGGGACUGAGAUGCGGCACAGGCACCUACGGGAGGCAGCAGUGGGGAAGACUGCAGGAGCGGCGCAAGCCUGGUGCAGCAGGGCUGCGUGGCGGAUGACGGCCUUAGGGUUGUAAACUCCAUUCGCUAGGGACGAAGCUUUUUGUGACGGUACCUAGAUAAGAAGCCCCGGCUAACUACGUG